GACUGAUGACUUAUUAUUUGCUACUUCUGAGUUGUUACUGACGACUCAUUUUUACCACCAAGAUCUCUGAUGUU
Small nucleolar RNA from Schistocerca gregaria, 74 nucleotides. RefSeq annotates it as small nucleolar RNA SNORD24. The transcript has a single exon. The record is from RefSeq and is a predicted model, not a curated record. NCBI's taxonomy places the organism in Eukaryota, Metazoa, Arthropoda, Insecta, Orthoptera, Acrididae.